GGUGCAAGUCGAGCGGUAGCACAGGAGAUGCUCUCUGGGUGACGAGCGGCGGACGGGUGAGUAAUGUCUGGGACUGCCUGAUGGAGGGAUAACUACUGGAAACGGUGGAGCUAAUACCGCAUAACCUCGCAAGAGCAAAGAGGACCUUCGGGCCUCUCGCCAUCAGAUGUGCCCAGAUGGGAUUAGCUAGUAGGUGAGGUAAUGGCUCACCUAGGCGACGAUCCCUAGCUGGUCUGAGAGGAUGACCAGCCACACUGGAACUGAGGGUCCAGACUCCUACGGAGGCAGCAGUGGCGAAUAUUGCACAAUGGGCGCAAGCCUGAUGCAGCCAUGCCGCCUGUGUGA
Molecule: ribosomal RNA, 345 nt
Filed under: Pectobacterium carotovorum subsp. carotovorum
Lineage: Bacteria; Pseudomonadati; Pseudomonadota; Gammaproteobacteria; Enterobacterales; Pectobacteriaceae
Description: bacterial SSU rRNA
Rfam family: Bacterial small subunit ribosomal RNA
Source: RNAcentral